GCAUAUCAAUAAGCGGAGGAAAAGAAACCAACCGGGAUUGCCCCCAGUAACGGCGAGUGAAGCGGCAAGAGCUCAAAUUUGAAAUCUGGCCCCUCCGGGGUCCGAGUUGUAAUUUGCAGAGGAUGCUUCGGGUGCGGCCCCUGUCUAAGUGCCCUGGAACGGGCCGUCAGAGAGGGUGAGAAUCCCGUCUUGGGCAGGGUGCCCGUGCCCGUGUGAAGCUCCUUCGACGAGUCGAGUUGUUUGGGAAUGCAGCUCUAAAUGGGUGGUAAAUUUCAUCUAAAGCUAAAUACCGGCCGGAGACCGAUAGCGCACAAGUAGAGUGAUCGAAAGAUGAAAAGCACUUUGAAAAGAGAGUUAAACAGCACGUGAAAUUGUUGAAAGGGAAGCGCUUGCGACCAGACUCGGCCCUGGGGUUCAGCCAGCACUCGUGCUGGUGUACUUCCCCAGGGGCGGGCCAGCGUCGGUUUGGGCGGCCGGUCAAAGGCCCCAGGAAUGUAUCGCCCUCCGGGGCGUCUUAUAGCCUGGGGUGCAAUGCGGCCAGCCCGGACCGAGGAACGCGCUUCGGCACGGACGCUGGCGUAAUGGUCGCAAACGACCCGUCUUGAAACACGGACCAAGGAGUCUAACAUCUACGCGAGUGUUCGGGUGUCAAACCCGUACGCGCAGUGAAAGCGAACGGAGGUGGGAGCCCCCCCGGGGCGCACCAUCGACCGAUCCUGAUGUCUUCGGAUGGAUUUGAGUAAGAGCGUAGCUGUGGGGACCCGAAAGAUGGUGAACUAUGCCUGAAUAGGGCGAAGCCAGAGGAAACUCUGGUGGAGGCUCGCAGCGGUUCUGACGUGCAAAUCGAUCGUCAAAUUUGGGGUAUAGGGGCGAAAGACUAAUCGAACCAUCUGGUAGCUGGUUCCUGCCGA
RNAcentral lists this ribosomal RNA (911 nucleotides) under Aspergillus oleicola. RNAcentral's name for it is "LSU rRNA". It matches the Rfam family "Eukaryotic large subunit ribosomal RNA", at positions 38 to 964 of the family's 3401-position model. Lineage: Eukaryota; Fungi; Ascomycota; Eurotiomycetes; Eurotiales; Aspergillaceae. The record is from RNAcentral.